Anolis carolinensis (green anole) is the source of this 3077-nucleotide long non-coding RNA. RefSeq lists it as uncharacterized. Lineage: Eukaryota; Metazoa; Chordata; Lepidosauria; Squamata; Anolidae. The record is from RefSeq and is a predicted model, not a curated record. The transcript is spliced from 2 exons.
ACGCGGGAAUAUAUGCUAAUGGCCAAACCAACCCCAUAAUAGGAUGAGCAAAAGUAAUGAGGACUUUUUGGAAAAAUGGAAGCUGGCCGUGGCAUAUCUGAAUAGAGAGUCAGUGACAUAGAGGAGCUCCAUUAGGAAUUCAGGACAACUAUGUACAAGGAUAGAUACAUUGCAUUAAAGGCUUCAUGGUGCUUCAGCAUUAACUCUCAGCCCUCCUUCUGGAAUGUUGCCAACAAACUCCUUUGUGACAGCGGAGAAGACCCUUGGACACUGACACCAUGGUAACCCAGGGCAAUUUGAAUUGACAUUCAGGGAUACCUAGAGUGGACUGACUUCUUAACCUGAUCUUGAGGUAUUAUUGUUACAUUCCCAUGUGUCUUUUGGAGAGAAGGAGAACUUUAUACAAAAGAUUACCAUCUGGUCAGCCUCACCUCGAUACCAGGAAAAGAUCAUUAAGGAAGAGGUCUGCAAGCACUUAGAAAGGAAUGCAGUCAUUGCUAAUAGCCAACAUGGAUUUAUCAAAAACAAUUCAUGCCAGACUACUUUGGUCUCUUUUUACAAUAGAGUUACAAACUGGGUAAAUGCAGGGAAUGCCAUGGAUGCAGCAUAUCUGGAUUUCAGUAAGGCCUUCAACAAGGUCCCGCAUGACUGUCUGGCAAACAAACUAGUCAAAUGUGGGCUAGACAAAACUACAAUUAGGUGGAGCUGUAAUUGACUAAGUGAAUGAACCCAGAGGGUUCAUCCUGGAAAGAAGUGACAAGUGGAAUGCAGCAGGAUUCCGCCCUGGGCCCGGUUCUGUACAACAGCUUUAUUCAUGACUUAGAUGAAGGAUUAGAAGGCAUGAUCAAGUUUGCAGAAAAUACCAAAUUGGGAGGGAUAGACAAGAUAGGAGCAGAAUUCAAAACAACCUUAACAGAUUAGAGUGAUGGGCCAAAACUAACAAAAUGAAGUUCAUCAGGGACAAAUGCAAGAUACUCCAUUUAGGAAGAAAAAAUGAAAUGCAAAGAUACAGAAUGGGGGACGCCUGGCUCAACAGCAGUAUGCAUGAAAAAGAUCUUGGGGUCCUCAUGGACAACAAAUUAAACAUGAGCCAACAGUGUAAUGCUGCAGCAAAAAAGCCAAUGGGAUUUUGGCCUGCAUAAAUAGGAAUAUAGUGUCUAGAUCCCGGGAAGUCAUGCUACCCCUCUAUUCUGCCUUGGUCAGGCCACACCUGGAAUACUAUGUCCAAUUCUGGGCACCACAAUUUAAGGGAGAUGUUGACAAGCUGGUAUGUGUCCAGAGGAGGGCAACUAAAAUGAUCAAGGGUCUGGAGAACAAGCCCUAUGAGGAGUGGCUUAAAGAGCUGGGCAUGUUUAGCCUGCAGGAGAGAAGGCUGAGAGGAGACAUGAUAGCCAUGUAUAAAUAUGUGAGGGGAAGUCAUAGGGAGGAGGAAGCAAGCUUGUUUUCUACUGUCCUAGAGACUAGGACAUAGAACAAUGGCUUCAAACUACAGUGGUAUAGUUCCACCUGAACAUUAGGAAGAACUUCCUAACUGUGAGAACUGUUCAGCAGUGGAACUCCCUGCCUCAGAGUGUGGUGGAGGCUGCUUCCUUGGAGGCUUUUAAGCAGAGGCUGCAUGGCCAUCUAUCGGGGGUGCUUUGAAUGCGAUUUUCCCGCUUCUUGGCAGGGGGUCGGACUGGAUGAUCCAUGAGGUCUCUUCCAACUCUAUGAUUCUAUGAGGAACACUUGGCUCUCCAAGAUGUUGAGCUCAAUCUGCAACUUUUGGCAUUAGUUCUACUGGCAAGGGCUGGUGGAAGUUGGAGUUUCAUCUCUGUGCCUCAUUCCUGUUUUACAGUAUGGCUUCGAUGAAAUGAAUUUGAAAUCAGAGAAAUUAUUGGUUGAAUAACAAAACAUCAUCAACAACACCUGAAGAUUUAAAAUAGAAUAAUACUACUACAUUUUUGUUUUUUGUAUGCUUGUAUGUAGGUUUUGUUUUAAUCUGUCUUAAUAAAAAACCUAAUCAUAAAAAAUUGGCAGAAUAAAUAAAUAGACUAUCACUCUCCUAUCCAUUAGAUGGAUUUCUAGUUUCAUUUUUCCAAAUCCAACAAAAUAUGUCAUCUCUAGGUAUUUUCUAGGUCCUCUAGCAUGACACUAUAUUGUUCUUGGACCAAAAGUGCUUUAUUUCAAUAGGGUUAACAAUUAUCCACUGUAUCCAUCUGCAGUCGAAGAAUGUAUCCUUCAUGGAUAUACUGUAUAGAACAGGCAUGGGCAAACUUUGGCCCUCCAGGUGUUUUGAACUUCCACAGUUCUUAACAGCCUAACUCCUUUUAGGAAUUGUGGGAUUUGAAGUCCAAAACACCUGAAAGGCUGAAGGUUCCCUGUGCCUGGUAUAGAACCUAUUAAGAAUGAUAGCAAGCCAGUUCAGUACAGUGAGUUGAAUGUUGGACUAUGGGGAAGCCUUGAAUCAAACUCAGCCAUAGAAACCCAUUGGGCAUCCUUGGCUAAUCACACUCCCCCAACUUGAGAGGAAGGCAGGGACAAACCUCCUCUGAAUAAAUCGUUCCAAGAAAACCCUAUGAUAUGGUUAUCAUAAGUUACAGUCUGCUUGAAAGCUCAUAACAACAACAGCAAGAAGAGUGGCAAAUGUGGGUUUCUUCUACUGCAUUUAAAUAUGAGUUAUCAUACACACUCUAAAGUGUUGGGGGAACUUGAAUCUUAAACUUAUAUUUGUGUGGGUUUAGAUAUGUUAAAUUUCUGCAAAUAUUUGGGUGGGAUUGGAUAUGUUAAAUUUCUCCAAAUGUGAAGAAUAAGUAAAUACACUUUGAGUACAGUGCCCUUAUGCCAUGCAAGAGUGAAGUUCUGUUUGUGUGAACUCCACUCCAACAUGUUAAGAUUAAGAAAGAGCUUGCCAGAUUCUAUUUUACUUUGUUUUAACACCACAGAAAUGUCACAGUUGAGCCCAGUAAGUGUUUGUUAACAGGGGGGAAAUUGGUGGCAAACAGAAAUACACAAACAAUAUCCAAGAUUCUUUUCUCUUGCCUUUGCAGUGAAAGCAUGUUGCAUGUCUGUUAUCUUUUUUAUUAAAUGAUGUCUCUGCA